This 248-nucleotide unclassified non-coding RNA is filed under the name Hevea brasiliensis (rubber tree). Lineage: Eukaryota; Viridiplantae; Streptophyta; Magnoliopsida; Malpighiales; Euphorbiaceae. The record is from RNAcentral.
GUGGGAAAUCUUCAGGAGUUUUGUGAUAAGCCACACACAUGGACCAGAGUAUCAUGAGAGUUGGUUCUGCACAUUUUUCAGGUUAAUGGGGCUGGUGCUCCCUGGAGUUUCUGCGCAUAGUCCUAUAGAUUAUGUCAACUCCGUCAGGCUUGGAAAGGAGCGUACGUUUCCAUUGUCCACUUUGAAAAGCUUCGCUCGCAAAUCAUAAUUAAGAAGGUUCGCAAUCUUCUUCCUCAUCAUAAUAAUAA